UACGUAGGGUGCAAGCGUUGUCCGGAAUUAUUGGGCGUAAAGAGCUCGUAGGCGGUCUGUCGCGUCGGAUGUGAAAAUCCAGGGCUUAACCCUGGGCCUGCAUUCGAUACGGGCAGACUAGAGUUCGGUAGGGGAGACUGGAAUUCCUGGUGUAGCGGUGAAAUGCGCAGAUAUCAGGAGGAACACCGAUUGCGAAGGCAGCUCGCUGGGACGUUACUGACGCUGAGACGCGAAAGCGUGGGGAGCAAACAGG
Molecule: ribosomal RNA, 253 nt
Filed under: uncultured bacterium
Lineage: Bacteria
Description: partial 16S ribosomal RNA
Rfam family: Bacterial small subunit ribosomal RNA
Source: RNAcentral